CGGUCUCACAUCAAAGGCGCCCCACUCGCGCGGGAGAGGAUGAGCUGAUCUCCAUGGCCAGAUGAGGGAGGAAUACGGGUGACGGGAUGGAUUUGGAUCUCAAGGCGGGGAGGCCAACGUAGCCGCCCCUAGCGCGUCGAGCGAAAGCGAAGGAUUUGGAUCUCAUGGAUUUGGCUGCGUCGACCAGCAGAGGACCGCCGCCGGCUCAGCUCCUCCACCACGAAGCAACCUCCUUCCACCCCAUAGCCGCCGCCCAAAACCCUAGCAAUCGAGCCCCACCCAUGGCGCCCUAGGUGGUACAGCGGCCAGAGGAGAGGAGAGGAGGUGGAGCAGCCAUCGCCUGGACGUGAGCGAUGGCAGCGGUGAAUGGGCAGCGCGGGCGUUGAGCAGGAUCAUGGGGGAGCAGGGGAGGCCAGAGGCUGCUCACCAUAUACAUCGCCAUCCAUAGCCGCCCUCGUCCGCCAAGAAGCUGAGGAGGGAGGCUGACCUCCAGUGACCACUCUGCACCGCUCUGGACGACACCCUCCCCCACCAGGUUCAUCCUCCUAAUUCGUUUUAAUCAUCCCAAAUUUUUUUGUCUUACCACAGUUAAGAAAUAUGAUUCAUGUUUGCUAUUGCAUUUGGAGCUCCAUCCUUACAACUUAUGGAUAAUAUGAAUACAUCAAGGUGUUUUGGUUCUCCCCAUUCCGUAUGUUCGCAAUGGAGUGUAUAUAUUGUUGAUUUAUGUCAUGGUGAUUGAAUUUGA
Non-coding RNA from Aegilops tauschii subsp. strangulata, 745 nucleotides. NCBI's taxonomy places the organism in Eukaryota, Viridiplantae, Streptophyta, Magnoliopsida, Poales, Poaceae. The record is from RefSeq and is a predicted model, not a curated record.